GAUGAACGCUGGCGGCGUGCUUCAUACAUGCAAGUCGAACGAGAAGUUACCUUCGGGUAAUGGAAAGUGGCGGACGGGUGAGUAAUACAUAGGAAAUCUGCCCUUAGGUGGGGGACAACAGUUGGAAACGACUGCUAAUACCGCAUAUGAGAUAUUCUGAAAUGGAUAUCUUGAAAACUCCGGUGCCUAAGGAUGAGCCUGUGCCUGAUUAGCUAGUUGGUGGUGUAAUGGACUACCAAGGCGACGAUCAGUAGCUGGUUUGAGAGGAUGAUCAGCCACAAUGGGACUGAGACACGGCCCAUACUCCUACGGGAGGCAGCAGUGGGGAAUAUUGCGCAAUGGGGGCAACCCUGACGCAGCAACGCCGCGUUAAGGAUGAAGGCUUUCGGGUUGUAAACUUAUGUCGGGUGGGAAGAUAAUGACGGUACCACCGGAGAAAGUCACGGCUAACUACGUG
This 457-nucleotide ribosomal RNA is filed under the name uncultured bacterium. RNAcentral's name for it is "bacterial SSU rRNA". It matches the Rfam family "Bacterial small subunit ribosomal RNA", at positions 28 to 507 of the family's 1533-position model. The record is from RNAcentral.